UUUUUUGGAUGAAAAAUGAAAUUACUAUGAUUUUUUUAUAAAAAAAAAAAAAGCAAUUAAAAAUGAAAAAAGAAAAAGAAAUAAAAUCUGAAAAAAAAACACGAAACAGUAGAUCAAGCCUCAUUAACUGACGUUGCAUAUCCAACAAUCACAAGACUAAAGCGCACAAUAGAAUUUAGCAAAAAAUGAAACAUGUGAUCUAAUUCAAAAUGGAUCAGUCGGAACAUUUCAAAUUGUCAACGUGUAUCCAAACUCAUAUGACCUGAGAUAACUCCGGUCAUCUUCCCCGAUGAUUCCUCACCAGUGUAAGACCCCAAUUUUAACCCUAAGACCCCUCAUGCUAUCUCAUCAUAUGCAUUAGCAUUGGAAUCAC
RNAcentral lists this long non-coding RNA (373 nucleotides) under Lathyrus oleraceus (garden pea). RNAcentral's name for it is "Pisum sativum (pea) long non-coding RNA (PSAT_LNC018749)". Lineage: Eukaryota; Viridiplantae; Streptophyta; Magnoliopsida; Fabales; Fabaceae. The record is from RNAcentral.